Oryza sativa Japonica Group (Japanese rice) is the source of this 663-nucleotide non-coding RNA. NCBI's taxonomy places the organism in Eukaryota, Viridiplantae, Streptophyta, Magnoliopsida, Poales, Poaceae. The record is from RefSeq and is a predicted model, not a curated record.
UUUAACAAUAAAUCAAAUGAUAGAAAAAGAAUUAAUAAUUACUUUUUUUAAUAAGACGAACAGUCAAACAUGUUUAGAAAAGUCAACAGCGUCAAAUAUUUAGAAACGGAGGGAGUAUUUAGCAUGGCUUGCACCUGCAAUCUUCAGAGCUCAUUGAUUUUGUUCGCCGUUUGGCAUUGGCUGCUUGUUUAUACAUAUACUUAGCCAUGCAGUGCAAUCUGUACAGGAAAUUUUGUCUGAAAGCAUCGAUCAGAGUUUGACUCUUCGAGUGGAUUUUGAUCUGACAGUCACCAUGACCCGGGUUUACAUCGAGUUUUUGCUAAUCUGUUUGCAUGUUGUAAAAUAGUAUUACUUUGCUGAUGAGAAGCUUUACUAUUGCUUGAUACAAAGUCGGCUAAAUAUCUCUGCUUACAAGAAACAUCAAAAGCACCAGACAAGAAAUCGAUUAGGCAUACUCCACCAAGUAAGUUGCAGGCUUUCAUAUAUGUUCAUCCAACAUCACUGACUCAGCAUCCUAGCUUUUGCUAGGUUUUCUUGAAUUUUAUAAACAGAAGGUGCACAAAUGCAAGAAUGCACCUGUAGUUAUGACUUUAUACACCACUACUUUUGAAAAUGCAAUUAGCACAUGAUGAACUCUAUACUGAUUAUGCAGGAAGAAACAAA